CCCGGGCAACGUGGGAAUGGCAGUCGGCUUCCUGCUCUAGGGGACGGUGUCCCUGCCCGCGGGAGGGGAGUUGGAAUGAGGUGGGUGAAUAGCUGUCAGGAAUAGCACGGAUUUCGGCAGGAUGCUAGGAAAAGCUCUGCUUUAAACAGAGGAUCGCCAUACACCUCAGCGUUGCAGGAUCAGGCUCCAAGUGACAAGUGCCAAGGAAGAUAAAGGCUCCGCUGCACUUUCCUGCUGGAGAAGUGUGUGGGUUUCAUGUCCAGCUUUCUGCCUGCAGGUUUUAAGUGGAAAGACAUGAAUUGUGGUCCUUACCAGUAGCUGAUCCUGUUCAGCGUGUGCAGAGCUGUGACCAAGAAUAUCAAUAAAGUGUUAUGUCUGUGAGGGAUUUCUUUCCUU
Molecule: long non-coding RNA, 396 nt
Filed under: Junco hyemalis (dark-eyed junco)
Lineage: Eukaryota; Metazoa; Chordata; Aves; Passeriformes; Passerellidae
Description: lncRNA (ENSJHYG00000017345.1)
Source: RNAcentral